CCAUAAACCCUGUGGGAGUUUUUAGUUUAACUAGAAACAAGCAAACAAAGAAAAAAUCCUUUAAAUGGGAAAAUUUUUACUCUGAAGCUCUGUAUGUAUUGGAAAACAGAAUUUAUUCUCUAAAAGAGAUAUAAGUUUGUGAAGAGAAUGAAGUUGAGCUUCCUGAAUUUGGGAAUAUUGCAGGUGCUAACACAGCUUGAGUGUAAUGGGUGAUUCUGUGAAAAGCACCUUUAUGAUCA
This is a long non-coding RNA of Peromyscus eremicus (cactus mouse), 239 nucleotides long. RefSeq lists it as uncharacterized. Lineage: Eukaryota; Metazoa; Chordata; Mammalia; Rodentia; Cricetidae. The record is from RefSeq and is a predicted model, not a curated record. The transcript has 3 exons.